ACACACGUACUACAAUGGUCGGUACAGAGGGUUGCCAACCCGCGAGGGGGAGCCAAUCCCAGAAAACCGAUCGUAGUCCGGAUUGUAGUCUGCAACUCGACUGCAUGAAGUCGGAAUCGCUAGUAAUCGCGGAUCAGCAUGUCGCGGUCGAAUACGUUCCGGGCCUU
Molecule: ribosomal RNA, 167 nt
Filed under: uncultured Methylophilaceae bacterium
Lineage: Bacteria; Pseudomonadati; Pseudomonadota; Betaproteobacteria; Nitrosomonadales; Methylophilaceae
Description: partial 16S ribosomal RNA
Rfam family: Bacterial small subunit ribosomal RNA
Source: RNAcentral